UACGGGGGGGGCAAGCGUUGUUCGGAAUUACUGGGCGUAAAGGGCCUGUAGGUGGCUUGCUAAGUCAGACGUGAAAUCCCUCAGCUUAACUGGGGAACUGCGUCUGAGACUGGCGAGCUUGAGUGCAGGAGAGGAACGCGGAAUUCCAGGUGUAGCGGUGAAAUGCGUAGAUAUCUGGAGGAACACCGGUGGCGAAGGCGGCGUUCUGGACUGCAACUGACACUGAGAGACGAAAGCCAGGGGAGCAAACGGG
This 253-nucleotide ribosomal RNA is filed under the name uncultured bacterium. RNAcentral describes it as "partial 16S ribosomal RNA". It matches the Rfam family "Bacterial small subunit ribosomal RNA", at positions 524 to 776 of the family's 1533-position model. The record is from RNAcentral.